RNAcentral lists this long non-coding RNA (1194 nucleotides) under Sus scrofa (pig). RNAcentral describes it as "lncRNA (ENSSSCG00055011414.1)". The record is from RNAcentral. Lineage: Eukaryota; Metazoa; Chordata; Mammalia; Artiodactyla; Suidae.
GGUUGUGCUGUUCACUCCUCUAAUCCCAGUGCUUACUAGAGUUCAUGGAAUAUACUAGAAGCUAAUAUAAUUUGGUGAAUAAGGGAAAAACUAAUUUACAGUUGAUGGUUGCCUUUUAAGUUUUGGCAAGCUAACUGCAUUAACGUUUUCCUUUUUGUUUAAAGUCAAAAUCAUUAGAUUCUUAAGUGACAAGUACUAUGUUUAAAAGAUACUCAUUUAAAAAGAGGUUCUUGUGUUUGCAAUAUUUUACAGUUAAUUCAGUGAGAAUUUUGCAUUUGUUUUGUUAGGGCCCUUGUGCUAAGAGCUCAGGGCAUUGAAGAAUGUGAUUUGUGAGGUCAGAAAAGUACAUUAGGUUAAUUAUGCUACUCUGUUGCCAGACAAUCUCUUGGAAUUUGCUGGUAUGCAGUGAUUAAAACAGCAUCAUUUAAAAUGGUUAGACCUGUUAAAAUAUGCAGAUUUUACUUGUUUACAUGUCAUGUCCCUUUUUGAGGUUAUUGAUGAUAAUAGGAAAGAAAUUUGGGAUAUUUUCAAUAUUAUGAAAAUUUAUCAGAAUAAAAUUAUGGAUCUCUGUUAAUUAUUUAUCCUCUUAUGAUAUAAGCUCCAUAAAGUAGAAUUUUAAUCUAUUUGGCCAAUGAUAUAGUCCAACAUCUAGAACAAUGUCUGUCAUGUGAAAACUAUAUAGAUAAAUAGUACUUAAGAGGAGUUCCCGUCGUGGUGCAGCGGAAAUGAAUCUGACUAGGAACCAUGAGAUUGCUGGCUGGAUCCCUGGCUUUGCUCAGUGGGUUAAGAAUCUGGCAUUGCUGUGAGCUGUGGUGUAGGUUGUAGAUGCGGCUCGGAUCCAGUGUUGCUGUGGCUUUGGCGUCGGCCGACGCCAAUAGCUCUGAUUAGACCCCUAGCCUGAGAACCUCCAUAUGCCACAGGUAUGGCCCUAAAAAAGACAGAGAAGACAAAAAAAAAAAAAAAAAAUUAGUACUUAAGAAAUAUUUAUUGAAUGAAACAAAACGUAAGCUUACAUUCUGGGUUCACACUUAUUUUAUAUUUUACUUGUAGAUAUUAUUCUAUUCCUACCACCAGGAUGUAGGCUUUAUGAAGGCAAGAAUUUUUGGUUUGUUUUGUUUACUGCUGUAUCCCCAGGACCUAGAACAGUGUCUGGAAUUCAAUAAAUAUUAUUGAAUUAAUGAAAUAAUAAUUAGA